AAAAUUGCAGUUGAAACUGGAAGCCUUGAGUGCGGCAGAGGCAGGCGGAAUUCGUGGUGUAGCGGUGAAAUGCUUAGAUAUCACGAAGAACUCCGAUUGCGAAGGCAGCUUGCUGGAGCGUAACUGACGCUGAUGCUCGAAAGUGCGGGUAUCAAACAGGAUUAGAUACCCUGGUAGUCCGCACAGUAAACGAUGAAUACUCGCUGUUGGCGAUAUACGGUCAGCGGCUUAGCGAAAGCGUUAAGUAUUCCACCUGGGGAGUACACCGGCAACGGUGAAACUCAAAGGAAUUGACGGGGGCCCGCACAAGCGGAGGAACAUGUGGUUUAAUUCGAUGAUACGCGAGGAACCUUACCCGGGCUUGAAUUGCACAGGAAUGGCUUGGAAACAGGCCGGUCUUCGGACCUGUGUGAAGGUGCUGCAUGGUUGUCGUCAGCUCGUGCCGUGAGGUGUCGGCUUAAGUGCCAUAACGAGCGCAACCCUUAUUUCCAGUUACCAUCAGGUAAUGCUGGGGACUCUGGAGAGACUGCCGUCGUAAGAUGUGAGGAAGGUGGGGAUGACGUCAAAUCAGCACGGCCCUUACGUCCGGGGCUACACACGUGUUACAAUGGGGGGUACAGCAGGCUGCUACCCGGCGACGGGAUGCCAAUCCGUAAAACCCCUCUCAGUUCGGACUGGAGUCUGCAACCCGACUCCACGAAGCUGGAUUCGCUAGUAAUCGCGCAUCAGCCACGGCGCGGUGAAUACGUUCCCGGGCCUUGUACACACCGUCCGUCAAGCCAUGAAAGCCGGGGGUACCUGAAGUGCGUAACCGCAAGGAGCGUCCUAGGGUAAAACUGGUGAUUGGGGCUAAGUCGUAACAAGGUAACCA
Molecule: ribosomal RNA, 871 nt
Filed under: uncultured bacterium
Lineage: Bacteria
Description: bacterial SSU rRNA
Rfam family: Bacterial small subunit ribosomal RNA
Source: RNAcentral